Molecule: RNA transcript, 1065 nt
Organism: Dipodomys ordii (Ord's kangaroo rat)
Lineage: Eukaryota; Metazoa; Chordata; Mammalia; Rodentia; Heteromyidae
Gene name: 40S ribosomal protein S2 pseudogene
Exons: 1
Source: RefSeq, a predicted model, not a curated record
AUGGUCUACAAUAUAGUCACAUGUAUGGCAGUUAAGCUAGUAAACUUUAAGGAUAAAGGAAAAAAAUUCUUAAUGCAUGCCUACAGAAAGGAAUUGCUCGGUGAAGUGAUACUAAUCAUUCAACCUCUCCACAGAGAAUCAGUAGAAUCGAUUAAAAAUAUUUUUACUUCUUCUCUGGUGCAGCGGGAGGGCCCGGGGCCCUGGGCCCGGGGCUUGGGAGGCCUUGGUGGUUUCCAUGGAGGCUUCGGUAGCGGCCUCCGGGGUCGAGGUCGUGGCCGUGGUAGAGGCUGGGGUGGCGGCCCCGGGGCUCAUGGAGGCAAGGCCAAGACAAGGAAUGGAUCCCCAUCACCAAACUGGGCCGCCUGGUUAAGGACAUGAAGAUCAAGUCUCUGGAGGAGAUCUGUCUUUCCUCCCUGCCCAUCAAGGAGUCUGAGAUGGCUGACUUCUUCCUGGGGGCAUCACUCAAGGAUGAGGGGUUGAAGAUUAUGCCCGGGCAGAAGCAGAAUCCAGCUGCCCACCAGGUUCAAGGCAUUUGUAGCCACUGGCGACUACAAUGGCCAUGUUGGUCUGGGGGUUCAGUGCUCCAAGGAGGUGGCCACUGCCAUCCGGGGACCAUCAUCUUGGCCAAGCUCUCCAUCGUCCCUGUGUGGCGAGGUUACUGGGGGAACAGGAUUGGCAGGCCUCACACUGUCCCACGCAAGGUGACAGGCUAUGAGUUUCUGUGCUGGUGCACCUUAUUCCUGUCACCAGAGGUAUUGGGAUUGUGUCCGCUCUGUCCCCAAGAAGCUGCUGAUGUCUGGAAGUGAUGACUGCGACACCUCAGCCAGGGGCUGUACUGCUACCUUGGGCAACUUCGCCAAGGCCACCUUUGAUGCCAUCUCUAAGACCUACAGUUACCUGACCCCUGACCUCUGGAAAGAGACCGUAUUCACCAAAUCUCCUCAUCAGGAAUUCACUGCCCAUCUUGUGAAAACCCACUCCAAAGUCUCCGUGCAGAGGACCCAGACUCCAGCUGUGGCUACCACAUAGAAUUUUAUACAACAAUAAUAAAGUGAAUCACGCCUG